AUGCAGUCGAACGGCAGCACGGAGCUUGCUCUGGUGGCGAGUGGCGAACGGGUGAGUAAUAUAUCGGAACGUACCCUAGAGUGGGGGAUAACGUAGCGAAAGUUACGCUAAUACCGCAUACGAUCUAAGGAUGAAAGUGGGGGAUCGCAAGACCUCAUGCUCGUGGAGCGGCCGAUAUCUGAUUAGCUAGUUGGUAGGGUAAAAGCCUACCAAGGCAUCGAUCAGUAGCUGGUCUGAGAGGACGACCAGCCACACUGGAACUGAGACACGGUCCAGACUCCUACGGGAGGCAGCAGUGGGGAAUUUUGGACAAUGGGCGAAAGCCUGAUCCAGCAAUGCCGCGUGAGUGAAGAAGGCCUUCGGGUUGUAAAGCUCUUUUGUCAGGGAAGAAACGGUGAAAGCUAAUAUCUUUUGCUAAUGACGGUACCUGAAGAAUAAGCACCGGCUAACUACGUGCCAGCAGCCGCGGUAAUACGUAGGGUGCAAGCGUUAAUCGGAAUUACUGGGCGUAAAGCGUGCGCAGGCGGUUUUGUAAGUCUGAUGUGAAAUCCCCGGGCUCAACCUGGGAAUUGCAUUGGAGACUGCAAGGCUAGAAUCUGGCAGAGGGGGGUAGAAUUCCACGUGUAGCAGUGAAAUGCGUAGAUAUGUGGAGGAACACCGAUGGCGAAGGCAGCCCCCUGGGUCAAGAUUGACGCUCAUGCACGAAAGCGUGG
RNAcentral lists this ribosomal RNA (713 nucleotides) under uncultured Janthinobacterium sp. Its description in RNAcentral is "bacterial SSU rRNA". It matches the Rfam family "Bacterial small subunit ribosomal RNA", at positions 55 to 764 of the family's 1533-position model. Lineage: Bacteria; Pseudomonadati; Pseudomonadota; Betaproteobacteria; Burkholderiales; Oxalobacteraceae. The record is from RNAcentral.